Molecule: long non-coding RNA, 253 nt
Organism: Empidonax traillii (willow flycatcher)
Lineage: Eukaryota; Metazoa; Chordata; Aves; Passeriformes; Tyrannidae
Exons: 2
Source: RefSeq, a predicted model, not a curated record
UAUAUCAGGGUGUAUGAGACAUGGAAAUGUCUCACUGAACAAUGAGGCUCAUAACAUCAGUCUCCAUGAAACAGUCUUUCAUAAGGAGCUCUAAAGUUUUUUUGAGAGGAAAAGAAACUGACAGACAAAAGGAAAAUCCCUAGAGGAUGAACUCAAGCUUCAAGACAGCUUAAGUAUAGAGUUUGAUGUGUGCAAAAGACACAGGAGGUCAAGUAAUCCCCUUAUGGUUAGAGAAUAUAUAGUAAAAAUUCUA